Long non-coding RNA from Oncorhynchus tshawytscha (Chinook salmon), 1493 nucleotides. Lineage: Eukaryota; Metazoa; Chordata; Actinopteri; Salmoniformes; Salmonidae. The record is from Ensembl.
GUCUUGUUCUCUGAGCCCCCGACCAGUAGAGGGGGGAGAUGUGUUUAUACUAGGAGAUGUUUGUGUCAGGGGUUCGUGAGGUAGAGGGGCAGUUUUUAUGGCUGGGUGCAUGUGUUCAUGCGAUGGAAUGUCUUUGUUUCCUGGGGUCGGGAGACAACCAAGCUGAGGGGAUGGUUUUAGGGGGGUAGUUUUAUUGCUGGCUGUGUGAGCUAGUUCCUGCUUUAGCAAGGGUACGUAAGAUGACUUGAGUCAGGCGGUUUAGCUUAGCGCUGUAUACAAUAUGAGUUAUGUGUAUGAAUAUUUAUAUAACAAGGGUGAAAGGAUAGCAGCCCCAGCUGUCAGUGAGAGAGGAGGCUAUUCUGGAUAGGGCAGGUACUUUUGUAGUUCCAGUCCCUAGAAGUCAGGACAGAGAUAAUAGUAACAUAAUAUUCAGUGUGGUGUAUUUUGACUAUAAUGAAGUCUGUUUCUUGUGAGGUUUUUCUGUCCUCAGAAAAAUAGAGCUGUAAAAUCCUAUCUACAUAUGAAGAGGUCCCAAUGAAGAGCAGUGGUUCUCAGUCCUGGGGACUCAGAGGGGCACAUUGUUGUUUUUUCCUCAGCACUGCUCAGCUGAUUCAAAUGAUCAACUCAUCAUCAAGCUUCAAGUGGUAUUUAUGUAUUCAUUUGUGAUGUUAUCCUUGACAUGAUCCUGCUAUUGUCACAUAUUACACAUAUCAAUCCAAUGUUAUUUUGAUUUGUUAUCAGGGAUAUUAUAUACUUUAGUAAUCCACAAUGACCUGGUGAUGUAAAAGUCUAAUAAUUACAUUGUCUUCCAUAUUCCAACAGAUACUUUGUAACUGGGGAUACCUUCAAAACGAUUGCCUACAUUUACCAUGUAGGGCACAAAAAGGUUGGGUGACCAGGGCCAUCUGGGACUGCCUCCUGGAGUGAUUCAGGCGUGUGAAGGCUACCUGUGUCCUGCAUAACUUCAUGAGGAUGGACACGAGGACCAGGAUGGGAUAAGAUUCCUGUUGAACACUGUACAUUUAACUUCCUUAUUUUCUCACUAACAGUCUCUCCCCUUUUCCCUAAAUCCUCUAGGUUAUAUCAGCUGUGUCGGUGAACCCCUCCCGCAUCUGAACUGGCUAGAGGGCACAGCAUGAUCAGAGGUAUGUUUUGAUGUGAGAGAGGAUGCCAACCCCCAGUCAUCGCCACCUCACCUGCUCUUAAGAUAAACUUUGGUCCGACUGGGAGCCCAAGGCUGGUUAGGAGACACAACUAGAGAAACUAUUAUAGAAUUGUGAUGAACUGAGAGAAUAUUAGGGUAGCACUGCGAUUCAUUAAUCAUAUGCUGUCUUCCCUGCUCUUACCUCUUUCUCUGUCUUUUACACCUCUUCUUUCUUCCUCUGUUUUUAUAAUGAACACCAGAUGAGCAUUGAAGUACAGAUUGAACUUGUAUUUAUAAUAUAUUAUAUUUAUAAUGCAUGUAUUAUGUAUUUAUAACACCUGGAUAAUGA